RNAcentral lists this ribosomal RNA (261 nucleotides) under uncultured prokaryote. RNAcentral describes it as "partial 16S ribosomal RNA". It matches the Rfam family "Bacterial small subunit ribosomal RNA", at positions 524 to 784 of the family's 1533-position model. The record is from RNAcentral.
UACGGAGGAUCCGAGCGUUAUCCGGAUUUAUUGGGUUUAAAGGGUGCGCAGGCGGGAUGUUAAGUCGGCGGUGAAAUUUUGCAGCUCAACUGUAAAAGUGCCUUCGAUACUGGCUUUCUUGAGUGUGGAUGAAGUAGGCGGAAUUUGUGGUGUAGCGGUGAAAUGCUUAGAUAUCACGAGGAACUCCGAUUGCGCAGGCAGCUUACUAAACCACUACUGACGCUCAUGCACGAAGGCGUGGGGAUCAAACAGGAUUAGAUA